ACGCUCGACACCUACGGGAGUCAGCAGUUGGGAAUAUUGGACAAUGGAGGAAACUCUGAUCCAGUGACGCCGCGUGAAGGAAGAAGGUCUUCGGAUUGUAAACUUAUUUUGUCAGGGAAGAAAAAAUGACUGUACCUGAAGAAAAAGCACCGGCUAACUACGUGCCAGCAGCCGCGGUAAUCUGAGCGGGCUGGCAAGGC
RNAcentral lists this ribosomal RNA (200 nucleotides) under uncultured bacterium. Its description in RNAcentral is "partial 16S ribosomal RNA". It matches the Rfam family "Bacterial small subunit ribosomal RNA", at positions 328 to 539 of the family's 1533-position model. The record is from RNAcentral.